This 25-nucleotide non-coding RNA is filed under the name Cricetulus griseus (Chinese hamster). Lineage: Eukaryota; Metazoa; Chordata; Mammalia; Rodentia; Cricetidae. The record is from RNAcentral.
UAUCUGCUUUUUCUGCACUGUGGGU